UUCAAUUCUUACUGCACCAAACCCCAAUACAAUUAACCUCAGGAAGAGGUCAUUAGGAUAAUCAAGUGGCCAAGUAGACCUGGAUGCAUGGUAUUAACACACAAGGAAAAGUAAACAGCUAUGAGGCAAGGAAUGGGGUAAGGGGGAACAUGAUAAGCUAAACUAGUAAGGGCAUGCUAGUGACAAUAAGAAUAGCAGAACCAUAAAUAAAAACACACAAGGAACAAGAUGAAGUGCAAGACUAACAAAAACAUAUUGUUUUGGGGACUGAAAAUUAGAUGAGUAACAUACCAGUUUCAGGAAAAUAGAACACAAAGAGCAACAAUGCACAAGAUGAGCAGAGUGAGCAGAGAAUGAGGGCAGGAAUGUGAGAACAUCAGUGCAGAGAAGCAAACAGCAGGUAAACACCCAAGUAACCAAUGUAGUAGAACCUUAUAAUGUAGAAAUAAACAGCCAAGAUUACUCAAUCUUGGCUUUCAGCCGAUUGAGUGAGAGAGUUUGUAGAAAAACAAUAGAGAAAUAGAGAGCACUGAGUAUUAUUGAAAGAAAGUUCAGAGAGAUUGUAAUGUCUUGGUG
Molecule: long non-coding RNA, 576 nt
Filed under: Nicotiana benthamiana
Lineage: Eukaryota; Viridiplantae; Streptophyta; Magnoliopsida; Solanales; Solanaceae
Description: long non-coding RNA (NBEN_LNC010568)
Source: RNAcentral